AACGAACGCUGGCGGCAGGCUUAACACAUGCAAGUCGAACGCCCCGCAAGGGGAGUGGCAAACGGGUGAGUAACACGUGGGAACGUACCUUACAGUUCAGAAUAGCCUCGGGAAACUGGGAGUAAUACUGAAUAUUCUCUACGGAGGAAAGAUUUAUCGCUGUAAGAUCGGGCCGCGCUAGAUUAGCUAGUUGGUGGGGUAAUGGCUCACCAAGGCUACGAUCUAUAGCUGGUCUGAGAGGAUGAUCAGCCACACUGGGACUGAGAUACGGCCCAGACUCCUACGGGAGGCAGCAGUGAGGAAUAUUGGACAAUGGACGAAAGUCUGAUCCAGCCAUGCCGCGUGAAUGAAGAAGGCCUUAGGGUUGUAAAGUUCUUUCGCAGGGGAAGAUAAUGACGGUACCCUGAUAAGAAGCCCCGGCUAACUCCGUGCCAGCAGCCGCGGUAA
RNAcentral lists this ribosomal RNA (447 nucleotides) under uncultured bacterium. RNAcentral's name for it is "partial 16S ribosomal RNA". It matches the Rfam family "Bacterial small subunit ribosomal RNA", at positions 29 to 523 of the family's 1533-position model. The record is from RNAcentral.